This is a long non-coding RNA of Triplophysa rosa, 1010 nucleotides long. RefSeq lists it as uncharacterized. The record is from RefSeq and is a predicted model, not a curated record. The transcript has 4 exons. NCBI's taxonomy places the organism in Eukaryota, Metazoa, Chordata, Actinopteri, Cypriniformes, Nemacheilidae.
UUGGCCAGGAUACCGGGAUUACACCCCUACUCUUAAUCGAAGGACAUCCUGAUAUUUUUAAUGACCACAGAGAGUCAGGACCUCGGUUUAACGUCUCAUCCGAAGGACGUACACUGCGCGCUGCAGAAAUCAGCCUUAUAAUUCGUUAUCGACAGGGUUGAACAAUUACCUUGACUACUAAAGAUUGUUUAGCAAAGAGCUUGCCAGAUCUGACUCCUUUAAUAACCUUACCAAUAAAUACAGAAUCGCUUGACGAUAUGACCAGCAACAUGUGCACUAUUUUCUCUAACCCUGAUAGCAAGACUCCGGGGCGGAUCUGCCUUCAAGUCACCUGGUCCGCUGUACUCUCAGAUUCAAUUCGGCCACAAGCACAGAAUAUGCCCCGCCUCCGCAAAACGCACUGUCAACUCGCGGACUCGCAACUGACGCUGGGCGAAUUCUCUGACCGAAAGCGUCUUUUUUAAACCGUCACAGUCACUUAAUCCAUCUCCUCACACAGUGGAAACGCUGGAGCUGGCAGGUCGGUGAGGACGGAACACGCUUACAGCUCAUUCAAGUGCCACUGGUCUUGCAGUAUUUCAUCUUUUCCAAACAACCGAGUAAACUUAAAGCUUUCAAGUGCCACUGGUCUGUUUUUGGAGAAUUUCAUCGUUAAGGUGCUGUGAGAAAGAGCCAUGUCUCCCGUGCCGCCACUGACACAUAAUACGGCGGUUCAACUUUGCAGCAGAUAGGGGAAACUCAAGGAGCUGUCCCACUGUCAGCACCCAACAGUAGCGUUUGGGUGUUUCACUGUUAACUUCUGUGUUUAGAAGUGUUCGUUUAACAGUUAAGUAGUAACAGCUGAGAUAAAGUUUACUACUUUAAAUAGUUAGUGUUUUAUUUAUUUAAUUUUGUUUCUAUUCAUCUUCAAAAAACCCAGUUUCCACACAAAAAAUAAGCAGUGCAACAUUAAGAAUAAAUGUUUUUUGAGCUACAUUAAAAAAGUGUUCUUCAUUAAAUAAAAAAUGUUC